GUCGAACGGUGAAGCCAAGCUUGCUUGGUGGAUCAGUGGCGAACGGGUGAGUAACACGUGAGCAACCUGCCCUGGACUCUGGGAUAAGCGCUGGAAACGGCGUCUAAUACUGGAUAUGAGCUCUCAUCGCAUGGUGGGGGUUGGAAAGAUUUUUCGGUUUGGGAUGGGCUCGCGGCCUAUCAGCUUGUUGGUGAGGUAAUGGCUCACCAAGGCGUCGACGGGUAGCCGGCCUGAGAGGGUGACCGGCCACACUGGGACUGAGACACGGCCCAGACUCCUACGGGAGGCAGCAGUGGGGAAUAUUGCACAAUGGGCGCAAGCCUGAUGCAGCAACGCCGCGUGAGGGAUGACGGCCUUCGGGUUGUAAACCUCUUUUGGUAGGGAAGAAGCCUUCGGGUGACGGUACCUGCAGAAAAAGCGCCGGCUAACUACGUGCCAGCAGCCGCGGUAAUACGUAGGGCGCAAGCGUUAUCCGGAAUUAUUGGGCGUAAAGAGCUCGUAGGCGGUCUGUCGCGUCUGCUGUGAAAUUCCGAGGCUCAACCUCGGGCUUGCAGUGGGUACGGGCAGACUAGAGUGCGGUAGGGGAGAUUGGAAUUCCUGGUGUAGCGGUGGAAUGCGCAGAUAUCAGGAGGAACACCGAUGGCGAAGGCAGAUCUCUGGGCCGUUACUGACGCUGAGGAGCGAAAGGGUGGGGAGCAAACAGGCUUAGAUACCCUGGUAGUCCACCCCGUAAACGUUGGGAACUAGUUGUGGGGUCCUUUCCACGGAUUCCGUGACGUAGCUAACGCAUUAAGUUCCCCGCCUGGGGAGUACGGCCGCAAGGCUAAAACUCAAAGGAAUUGACGGGGACCCGCACAAGCGGCGGAGCAUGCGGAUUAAUUCGAUGCAACGCGAAGAACCUUACCAAGGCUUGACAUACGCCAGAACGGGCCAGAAAUGGUCAACUCUUUGG
RNAcentral lists this ribosomal RNA (952 nucleotides) under Microbacterium sp. RNAcentral describes it as "bacterial SSU rRNA". It matches the Rfam family "Bacterial small subunit ribosomal RNA", at positions 61 to 1021 of the family's 1533-position model. Lineage: Bacteria; Bacillati; Actinomycetota; Actinomycetes; Micrococcales; Microbacteriaceae. The record is from RNAcentral.